RNAcentral lists this ribosomal RNA (489 nucleotides) under uncultured bacterium. RNAcentral describes it as "bacterial SSU rRNA". It matches the Rfam family "Bacterial small subunit ribosomal RNA", at positions 29 to 507 of the family's 1533-position model. The record is from RNAcentral.
AUGAACGCUAGCGGCAGGCUUAACACAUGCAAGUCGAGGGGCAGCGAGAGAGUAGCAAUACUUUUGUCGGCGACCGGCGGACGGGUGCGUAACGCGUAUGCAACCUACCUUAGUACAGGGGGAUAACCUUUCGAAAGGGAGACUAAUACCGCAUAACAUUACGUUUGAGGCAUCUUGAGGUAAUUAAAUCUUCGGAGGUAUAAGAUGGGCAUGCGUAGCAUUAGCUAGAUGGUGCGGUAACGGCGUACCAUGGCGACGAUGCUUAGGGGUUCUGAGAGGAAGGUCCCCCACACUGGUACUGAGAUACGGACCAGACUCCUACGGGAGGCAGCAGUGAGGAAUAUUGGUCAAUGGUCGGAAGACUGAACCAGCCAUGCCGCGUGCAGGAAGAAUGUCUUAUGGAUUGUAAACUGCUUUUGUAUGGGGCUAAUAAUAACUUUGCGAAGUUAGAUGCAGGUACCAUACGAAUAAGGAUCGGCUAACUCCGUG